This 490-nucleotide small RNA is filed under the name Pan troglodytes (chimpanzee). RNAcentral's name for it is "retained intron". The record is from RNAcentral. Lineage: Eukaryota; Metazoa; Chordata; Mammalia; Primates; Hominidae.
GGACCCGGGCCAUCCAGCACUGGCUGACCGAGAGUGCCCGCCUCAUCUCCCACAUGGGCUCCGUGGUGGAGUGGGUCACACCCCUGGGCGUCCCUGUCAUCCAGCCGUAUCGCCUGGACUCCAAGGUCAAGCAAAUAGGAGGUGGAAUUCAGAGCAUCACCUACACCCACAACGGAGACAUCAGCCGAAAGCCCAACACACGUAAGCAGAAGAACGGCUUCCCGCCCAACUUCAUCCACUCGCUGGACUCCUCCCACAUGAUGCUCACCGCCCUGCACUGCUACAGGAAGGGCCUGACCUUCGUCUCUGUGCACGACUGUUACUGGACCCACGCAGCUGAUGUCUCCGUCAUGAACCAGGUGCCCCCAUAGUCUGAGCCUCAGUCCACCCAUGGGUGGGGCCCCCACACUGGGGCGUUGGGUAGGGGUGGUGCCCAGAGCCUGCCUGAUCACCCCUGGGGAUCCUCUGACUCCUGCCCAGGUGUGCCGGG